GAUGAACGCUGGCGGCGUGCCUAAUACAUGCAAGUCGAGCGAACGGACGAGAAGCUUGUUUCUCUGCUGUUAGCGGCGGACGGGUGAGUAACACGUGGAUCACCUUCUUAUAUGACUGGGAUAACUUCGGGAAACCGGAGAUAAUACCGGAUAAUAUUUUGAACCGCAUGGUUCAAAAGUGAAUGACGGUCUUGGUGUCACUUAUAGCUGGAUCCGCGCUGCAUUAGCUAGUUGGUAAGGUAACGGCUUACCAAGGCAACGAUGCAUAGCCGACCUGAGAGGUUGAUCAGCCACACUGGAACUGAGACACGGUCCAGACUCCUACGGGAGGCAGCAGUAGGGAAUCUUCCGCAAUGGGCGAAAGCCUGACGGAGCAACGCCGCGUGAGUGAAGAAGGUCUUCGGAUCGUAAAACUCUUUUAUUAGGAAAGAACAUAUGUGUAAUAAACUGUGCACAUCUUGACGGUACCUAAUCAGAAAGCCACGGCUAACUACGUG
This 497-nucleotide ribosomal RNA is filed under the name uncultured bacterium. RNAcentral describes it as "partial 16S ribosomal RNA". It matches the Rfam family "Bacterial small subunit ribosomal RNA", at positions 28 to 507 of the family's 1533-position model. The record is from RNAcentral.